RNAcentral lists this unclassified non-coding RNA (373 nucleotides) under soil metagenome. RNAcentral's name for it is "partial contains 5.8S ribosomal RNA, internal transcribed spacer 2, and large subunit ribosomal RNA". The stretch from base 1 to 121 matches the Rfam family "5.8S ribosomal RNA", at positions 35 to 154 of the family's 154-position model. The record is from RNAcentral.
GAUGAAGAACGUAGCGAAAUGCGAUAAGUAAUGCGAAUUGCAGAAUUCCAGUGAGUCAUCGAAUCUUUGAACGCACAUUGCGCCCUUUGGUAUUCCGAAGGGCAUGCCUGUUCGAGCGUCAUUAUCACCCCUCAAGCCCUCGGCUUGGUGUUGGACGGUUUGGUGGAGGCCCCCUCGGGGGCUCCUGCCCCUCCCAAAGACAAUGACGGCGGCCUCGUUGGACCCCCGGUACACUGAGUUCUUCACGGGACACGUAUCGGACACAUGGGUUUACGGGACACGGUCUGCCUCCCCUCAGGGAGAAUCUUUCUAAGGUUGACCUCGGAUCAGGUAAGGAUACCCGCUGAACUUAAGCAUAUCAAUAAGCGGAGGA